Ictidomys tridecemlineatus (thirteen-lined ground squirrel) is the source of this 71-nucleotide small nucleolar RNA. Ensembl annotates it as small nucleolar RNA, C/D box 45B. The record is from Ensembl. NCBI's taxonomy places the organism in Eukaryota, Metazoa, Chordata, Mammalia, Rodentia, Sciuridae.
GGUCAGUGAUGUGAUGGCAUGUAUUAUCUGAAUGCAAAGUGAUGUGAAUUCUAAAAUUACACUGAGACCUU